GCUGGGUGUGGUGGUGCAUGCCUGUAAUCCCAGCAGCUCGGGAGGCUGAGACAGGAGGAUCAUGAGUUCAAAGCUAUUCUCAGCAAAAGCAAGGUGCUAAGAAACUCAGUGAGGCCCUGUCUCUA
Molecule: small RNA, 125 nt
Filed under: Marmota monax (woodchuck)
Lineage: Eukaryota; Metazoa; Chordata; Mammalia; Rodentia; Sciuridae
Source: RNAcentral